Molecule: long non-coding RNA, 814 nt
Filed under: Struthio camelus australis
Lineage: Eukaryota; Metazoa; Chordata; Aves; Struthioniformes; Struthionidae
Description: lncRNA (ENSSCUG00000007822.1)
Source: RNAcentral
CUGCGCCGGAGCGUGCGCCCCUCAGGAAGGGUGGCACCUCCCUCCGCUUCAGCACGGCUCUCCGGCUUCCUGGCUUUCCCAGUACUCUCCUGUCCAACUGCACGCUCCGGGCAGCGCAUGCUGCUCAAGGAGCUGCAAGGCAAGACUCGCCACAGCUCACUUCUGAGGAUUUCUGCUUUUUGAUAGCCCGUGUUGAAUCCUGCCAAGAAACAAGUUGUGGGCAGCACUCUACAAACAAACACGAUAGCAAAAUGGACAUCCACUGAAGUCAAACUGAUUUCCACGCUUAUUCGGUUUCAUUCAUCCUGUAUUUCUUCCGUGCAAGUUCAUUGGGAGCAGGGAGAAAGGAUAGAGGGGAAGAGAUUGAAUCAAGCUCAUCCAGCAAAACACAACACAGAUUGCGCUUUACCUCACAAUCGCUGCUGGAAGUUUCUGAUAUCAGAAUGAGGCCUGCUCUCCACAUUGCAAUGUUCAUUGUUUUAGAUGCAGAGCUUCUAUUCAUGGUUAAAGCUCCCAGGUUUCCCUACUGCAUUGGUAUAUCUAUGAGAUGUGCUUUCAUUCUUCUCAAAAGCUGGAACAAGAGAUAAGUGAAUGAUAUGACAAAGACUGCACCAUCCAUUUGAGAAUUCCUUUCUUAUACAGAGAUUCUUUUACUACAAGAUACAAUACCUGGACUAGAUGGUACGUGCUUUAAGCACAGAGAUGGAUACAUGCCCAAAUAACACUCGCACCAUGCAGGAGAUGAGUAUUUCCCAAGGGAACCUCUCUCUCCCUCAUUUUCUCUAGCAGUUAGCAUAAGUCAGGCCUAGUUGAC